UCCCUGGUGGUCCAGCAGUUAAGACUCUGCCCUCCCAAUGCAGGGGGCCUGGGUUCCAUCCCUGGUCAGGGAA
This 73-nucleotide transfer RNA is filed under the name Ovis aries (sheep). It matches the Rfam family "tRNA". From Rfam's summary of the family: Transfer RNA (tRNA) molecules are approximately 80 nucleotides in length. Their secondary structure includes four short double-helical elements and three loops (D, anti-codon, and T loops). The record is from Rfam by way of RNAcentral. Lineage: Eukaryota; Metazoa; Chordata; Mammalia; Artiodactyla; Bovidae.